Silurus meridionalis is the source of this 372-nucleotide long non-coding RNA. RefSeq lists it as uncharacterized. The transcript has 4 exons. NCBI's taxonomy places the organism in Eukaryota, Metazoa, Chordata, Actinopteri, Siluriformes, Siluridae. The record is from RefSeq and is a predicted model, not a curated record.
AUUUUAUAGAAGUCUCAGUUCAAUCAGGCUUGAUCUACACAAUAUCCGUUGCAAUCUGAUCCACUUGCACCUUGACCUGCAUUGCGGAAUAGGGAGCUGGAGAAGCAGUAGAUGACGGGGUCCAGUGCACUGUUCAUGUAUGUAAACCCAAUGGACAAGACAAACAUCUGACUAACUAAUUUUUGUAGCUGCAUAGGAGGGAGGCACUUUCAGGUUCUAUGGCCCUAUUCUACGUUUCAAACUAACUCCUGAGAUGUCACUAGUAUGCACUGGCUUAAUGUUUAGCUCGGACAAACUAAAAACCAGAAACGAACAGGAAAAUGGCAUUUAAACCUGAAGCUGUGGCAGGCUAGUAAGCAGUACUGACAUUGA